AGCGAACGCUGGCGGCAGGCUUAACACAUGCAAGUCGAGCGGACCUUUCGGGGUCAGCGGCGGACGGGUGAGUAACGCGUGGGAACGUGCCUUCCGGUUCGGAAUAACCCUGGGAAACUAGGGCUAAUACCGGAUACACCCUUAUGGGGAAAGGUUUACUGCCGGAAGAUCGGCCCGCGUCUGAUUAGCUAGUUGGUGGGGUAACGGCCUACCAAGGCGACGAUCAGUAGCUGGUCUGAGAGGAUGAUCAGCCACACUGGGACUGAGACACGGCCCAGACUCCUACGGGAGGCAGCAGUGGGGAAUAUUGGACAAUGGGCGCAAGCCUGAUCCAGCCAUGCCGCGUGAGUGAUGAAGGCCUUAGGGUUGUAAAGCUCUUUUAUCCGGGACGAUAAUGACGGUACCGGAGGAAUAAGCCCCGGCUAACUUCGUG
Molecule: ribosomal RNA, 433 nt
Filed under: uncultured bacterium
Lineage: Bacteria
Description: partial 16S ribosomal RNA
Rfam family: Bacterial small subunit ribosomal RNA
Source: RNAcentral